This 3853-nucleotide long non-coding RNA is filed under the name Homo sapiens (human). RNAcentral describes it as "HSALNT0105560". Lineage: Eukaryota; Metazoa; Chordata; Mammalia; Primates; Hominidae. The record is from RNAcentral.
UCAGAGGGCUGUUGGAGGAGUAGAUGAGGUGCUACAUGCAGGGCCCUGAGAACUGUCCUGUCGCUCAGGAAGCAAGUUUUGCAGGGUGUGGACAAUCGGGCAAGUGACUGCAUGUGACAACAGAGAGAGGGCAUGGUACACGGUGGCAGAUGAGCCCGGGACUGGAGGCAGAUCUGGGUUCCAGUUCGGGCUCUACCAGCAGCACCCAUGUGUCCUUCUGUUCUCUGGGCCUCAAUUUCCUGUUGUAAAAUUCAGAACUUGGAAGAGCAUUUCAGGAGGUUCCUGUGAAAAACCUACAUGCACACACCCCCACGUGCAGCUGCAGACUGCUAUCUAUACACGAAGUUAUGCAUCGCAGAGUCGACUGCAAAAGGCUGGAGCCCACACAGCGUCUAUCAAUAGGGAACGGGUUAAAUCGACCACAAGAUUUCCAUAUGACGAUGGAACACUUUCCAGCCAAGAAAGGAGGAGGAAGUCCUCACUGCUCUGAUACGGAACAGUCACCAAGACAUAUUUUAAGUAAAAAAAAGGCAGCAUGCAUAACCAGGGAAAUGAAAACUAAAACCACAGUGAGUUACAAUUUCACACAGAUCCAUCUACAAAAAAAAAAAAGCUGAUAAUUGCAGGUGUUGGUGAAGAAGUGGAGUGAGGGGAAUGCUCAAACUACUAGUGGGUGUGCGAAUGGUUAUAACCACUUUUUAAAAUUUUGGCAUUAUCUACUGAAGUUGACAAUGUACUUUCCCAAUGGCCUUGCAAAUGCCCUGGAGAAGUUCUUACCCAACCCCCGCCAUUCCCCCCAACACACACCAAAAGAAACAAUUAAGAACAUUUGCACCAGCUCUGUUCCUAGAACCCCAAAACUGAGGCCAGCACUGAGGCCAAGCACAGUGGCUCAUGCCUGUAAUCCCAGCAGGCAUGAGCCACCCUUUGGGAGCCUGAGGCCGGAGGAUUAUUGAGGUUGAGAGUUCAAGACCAGCCUGGGCAACAUAGUGAGACCUUGUCUCUAUAAAAGAAGUUUUAAAAAUUAGCCAGGUGUGAUGGCUCAUGCUUGUAGUCCCAGCUAAUUGGGAGGCUGAGGUAGGAGGAUCGUUUCUUGAGCCCUGGAGGUUGAGGCUGCAGUGAGCCAUGAUUGCACCACUGCACUCCAGCCUGGGCAACAGAAUGAGACCCUGUCUCAAAAAAUAAAAUUAAAUUAGAAAACAAUAAUAAUUAUUAUUAAUAAAUAAAAUAGUCCAAUGAAAAUAAUCAUACUAUCUCCAUGCAAUGGAAUUCUAUACAAGAGUGAAAAUGAACUAACUCCGGACAUGCGUAUCAGUACACUGAACUUCAGAACUAUAAUUAUGGGUGGGACAAAAGCCAGCCAUAGAAAACUAUUCUAUUCAUAAUCCCAAAAAGGUAGUAUACCAUAUUCAAUUAUUAUAUAUAUUUAUGUCUUGUUAUAUAUAAUGUUUAUUACAUUUAUCUUAGUAUAAAAAUAUAGUAUAUUUAUCAUAAUCUAUUAUAAACAAGUAGUAGGAUUAUAAAAAGACAAAAAGGGCAGGAUAAGCGUAAAAUUCAUGAUAGUAUUUAGGGGAAGAGGAGGGUGGGGCUGGAGAGAGGCACAUGGUUUCAAAAGCCCAGCUUCUUUGUCUAAAACAGGGCGUGGGUACCCAUACUGGUCUAUUGUAUUGUGGGUGUCUUUAAAAUGUAUAUAUAUUCUAUAACUACUAUUUUUGUAUCUACUCAAUAUUUAAUUUUAAAAUUUUAAAUGAGGCCUAGAACACUAUAAAAAGUAUGCUACCAUUUGUAUAGAAAAAGUGGACACACACAUCACUCAUGUGCAUAGAUUAAAGUGUCUCUGGAAACUUACACAUGCAACUGGUGAAACUGGUUUCCUCUGGGGAGGAGAACUGGGAGGCUGGGGACAAGGAGGGGCAAUAAAUCAAUUGAAAUUAAAAAUCACAAAAUUUAAGGAGAAGGAGACAAAGAAGGGAAGGAGGAAGAGAAGGGAGGGUGGAGGGGAGAGGCCAAGUCCUGGUCCCAGGAGGGACAGGGAGCAGAAAGAGGAGGACUGGCCAGGCUCUGGCUAUCAAAACCUGUGUGUGCCACAGGCACGAGUGGAGCCAGAAGCCUGCAGUCCUGCCCAGGAAAGCCUGUGUCCUCCGCGCACAACUCAGGCUUAGACCCAGAGAAUGCUCUUUCUUGCACCUGAGGACGGGGCUGGCUUCAAACAGUUGCCCAGGUUGACCCUGGCUCUGCAGUCUUUUGUUUCCAGAGCUUUGCUUCCAAACGAGGCUCCCUUGGGUCUCUUUCCCUGGCCCUGCCUUCUUAUCUCCAACCUUCACCCCACCUGUGAUCCAAGCGAUUCCUUUGAAGUUGCUUCAGAGUCUUCUGAGCCUUCAUCCUUGAUGACUCUGAAAUGUGCGUCUGUGGCACCAAGGUCAGCCAACAGCAAGUAGGCCCUUUUCAUCUCCUUUUAAACCUUCCCCUCAAGGACUCAGUGUCCUUGCUGUAUUGCCUUAUCAAAACCUGCUCACAUAUCCUUUGUUCACACUGGGAUACCGGUCAUUUAAAGGAAAACAGGCCCACUCUAACCAGGGUCACUGCCAAGUCCCUAAGUAUCAUGCCCUUGAGAGGUAAAAGCAUAAAGCACUAAGGGUAGAAUUUUGGGCAACAGCCAGUGGACAAGGACAAAAUGGGUGCAAUAUGCAGGGGUCCCUUCUGCCCCACCGGUAACCAUAACACCUCAGGACACAGGCUGGGGUCUGUAUUCAAAAGUGGGUCCCUCAGACCGGGCACAGUGGCUCACGCCUAUAAUCCCAGCACUUUGGGAAGCCAAGGCCAGCGGAUCCCUUGAGCCCAGGAGUUUGUGACCAGCCUGAGCAACAUGGCGAAACCCCAUCUCUACAAAAAAUACCAAAAUUAGUCUAGUCGGGCAUGGUGGUGCACACACCUAUGGUCCCAGCUAUUUGGGAGGCUGAGGGGGGAGAAUCGCUUGAGCCCCAGGAGGCAGAGAUUGCAGUGAGCUGUGAUCGAGCCACUGCACUCCAGCCUGGGCAACAGAGUGAGACCCUAUCUCAAGAAAACAAAAACAGAAAGUAAAAAAGCAAUCCUCGAGCAAAAGUGGGUCCCUCAGAGCCCAAUGACAGUGAUGAGGAGGAUGAGGUGGGAAAGGUAGUGUUACUCUGAACUAAAAAGGACUGCCCAGUGUGACCCUAUCUCCCAAACAGCCCAUGCAGGGAUCUGGGUGGCACCAUAGUACAGAAGUGGGUGCCAAGAGAGGCCUGGGCUGCACAGCCAGGUGCAUACAUGCCCUGGAGUCCAGGACAGGAUCAGCAGCAAAUCCACUCCAGGGAGCUCUCCCCCCUCACCAUCCUCUCAAUCAGGGUUCCCCAGUUGAAAAGCACCUUGGCAGUUCAUAAUUCUCCCUCUAAAGCCAGAAAGUGCUGUAAAGGAUAACAGAAGCCUGGCUGCACAGUGGAGCUUAAUGGAAGUCAUUCAACAAGCAGGUCUGGAGCAAACAUCAUGGACCAGCAGUACUGUGUGUUGGCACAGAUGUGAAGCAACUAUACUCUGAUACGGCUUGGAUAUGUGUCCCCACCCAAAUCUCAUAUUGAAUUUUAAUUCCCAGUGUUAGAGGAGGGGCCGGGUGGGAGGUGACUGGAUCAUGGGGGCAGAUUUCCCCCUUACUGUUCUCACGAUAGUGAGUUCUCAGAUCUGGUUAUUUUAAAGUGUGUAGCACCUCCCACUUUGCUCCCUUCCUCCUGCUUUGGCCAUGUAAGAUGUGCCUGCUUCGCCUUCCCCUUCCGCCAUGAUUCUAUGUUUCCUGAGGCCUCCCCAGCCAUGCUUCCUAUACAGUCUGCAGAACCGUGAG